GGCCGUCUCUUUCCACUUCCGUCCGCUUCUCCCGACCAAGCAUGGCGACGGACCAGCCGGCACGGCGAUGGCUCGUCGCAGCAGCUGCCUUCACUCCCCUCCGAAUCCCUCCCACGCCUGACCUCUCCGGCUCUUCCUUCAUUCCUCGCGCGGCCCUUCGUCGCCGCCGAGUCCGUCGCGGCCAGGCCCGACACGGGCUCUCUCCGCCGCUCACGAGUGACGCGGCCAUCGCGGCCUAGCCCGACCUGGGGCUCCCUUCGCCGCCCACGAGCCCGUCGCGGCCAUGCCCGACGCGGGGCACCGGUCUGCUCCAUCCUCUCCCCUGCUCGCGAGCUCCCUGCCCGCCCCGCUCGCCCUCUCCGCUUCUGCUCUGUCGUCACUCCGUUGAUCCGCUCCUUGGCUCUGAAAUUCUACUGAAAAUUGCUGCUGAUUGCUCUCUGCUGCUGAAUAGCUAUCAGAUUUUUUUUCCUAUCGGCUGCUGAAUCUGUCAAAUGCCGCUUGGCAGUGGAUCUUUUUGCUGAAAUCUUGUUUAGAAGAUGUUUUUUUGACGAACCUAGCAGUUGUGCUGCCUUUUCAAAUAGAAGGAGAACAAGAAACAAAUUCACCCAGUACAAACUACAGAGAUUGAGAAAAAGCUCCAGGGAAAAAUAUCAACUUGACCAGCAAGUUGACAACACAAACACUCAGACUACCACUCUAUAGAAGAUGUUGAACUGAUUGGAAAUGAGAGAGUUGCGUUCAGAUUCAGAGGGGUAAGGGCAUGCAUAUCUUCUUGUGUGGGUGUUAGUCUCAGUUAGUGCCGGAUGGUAUUUUGGCAUAAAAAACCAAAACUACAAUGAUAUUGUGGCAAGUUCAGUUUUUCGAGUGCUAUUUUGGAACUCUCGGUUUUGACUAAUGGUAUUAUGGUUAUUCAUACAUUUCAUUUUCUGCAAUUCCAGUAAAGUGUUGCGGCCGAAUGCUUCCACCUCUCUUACUUAGCAUGCCUCAUUUUCAGCUACCGUAAGCAGAAAUUUCUCAAGUUCUUCAGCAAGAAUGGAAGACAGUGAGAAAACCACCUUCAAUUUAUCUUUCCCUCGCUUCAUCCUAAUUCAUGUUUCUGACACAUUCUGAUGGUCAGUUUUGACACCAUCUAUUCACGGGCAACCAUUAUGACAUCAUCUACCGGCGUCCGUAUCAGAGUUAAAGCCAAUGGAUCCCCAUGAAUGCAGACAGCAGAUUUUGCUAGGUUAAUGUUGAGUUGGGCUCUGCUGCCUACGGAUGUAAACGUUGCAGAGUUAGGUGGUAGAGAAUUAGGCAUACACUGAUGAAGCAGGUAGGUCUGUAUACUUGUACAAACCCAUUACUCGGUGGCCUGGUGCCAAUGGAUUGAUCAAUAGUUGCCCCCUUGUCUGAAAAGUGCGACAAUGUCGAGUGCUAUCGUUGUUUGAAAUGCUGUCUGAUUCUCUAGUGAUCAUAUUCAUGUGUGCUGAACUUUUGUUGACACUUUACGCAGAGUGCAGGUGCCAAUUGAUUGGUUGAUCAGUUGGCAUACAAGGAGUCAAGGAUGAAAACAUUCGAUGUUUAGUUUCUGUGAUUGGACAUUUCUGAUAAAAAUUAUACCGUCUAUUACUCAAUGAUAUCGUUUCACUUACACGAGCAGAUUUUUUUUUUGCAGAAAUCAAUGUCUAGAAGAAGAAAAAUAAAUGAAACAAGGGUAUCAUCCAUCCAUCAGCUUAGCACAUGCACGCGCAGGCCUCCUUGAUCGAUCAGCGGAUUGGCUUGAGGCAACUCAAGCAGUGCGUCGAUGUGCUUGCCCUCGUUCAUGGCGACGAACAACUUGUCCACCUCCUCGCCGGGCGACCGCCGGUCAAGUGCCGCAGGUCGAUGGCGACCAGGAACGACGAGGACAUAAGCUUCAGUAUGUCGAUGGCCUCGGCGGGUCUUCCUCGCCGAGAGGAGGCCGAGGGAGUUCACGUCCUGGUUGUGCUGCUCCGCGCUCUGGACAUGGUAGGUGACCGGGUUCCCCAGGAACUACUGGAGCUCCGAGAAGUAGGACGCCAUGGCGAUCUCGGCGCCCUUGAAGCCGUAGUCCAGGCUCGGGUUGCGCCCGCCGGAGGGGUUGGACGGCAGGCCGUUGCUGUAGCAGUCGUUCACCACCUCCGAGAACUGCGCGAACAUGAGCUAAUUGCCGAUCGCCGCGACGCCGAGCCUCGUGUUGUCCAUGGACACGCCGAUGGGGCUUGUGCCCUGGAAGUUGCCGCCGUGGACCGCCUUGCCGCGGGAAACGUCGUUGAUCGCGCGCUCGAUGGACUUUGUGGCGGCGCGGAUCCGAUGACCUCGAUCUGCCGGCCGAGCCAGAGCCGGACAGCCGUGAUGAUGCCCCGAUGUAGGAGAGAGGGACGAGAUCGCCGGACGCCGUGAUGAUGCCCCGGAGGCCGGAGCGGCAGGCAGAGAGUCACGUUAGCGUUGAGCAGCGCAGCGAUCGUCUCCAAGUGGAUGCCGGACAGCCGGAGUAGCCCUGGUCCCCUGGCGCAGCGUGUUGACCGCCCGCGUCGUGGACACGGGAAGCACGUGGCCGUCUCUGCCGGUGCCGAAUGCUCCGGCGUUGAGGAACCGGAUGAGCUCGUAUGCCAGCAUUUAUGGAUUGAUGCAUUUAGAUAGCAGAGCAGAUCACGUCCGUCUGUACAUUUUUUUCAUAUUAAUAUAUUUGCAGUAGUCAUUUUGCCUUA
Molecule: long non-coding RNA, 2708 nt
Organism: Brachypodium distachyon (stiff brome)
Lineage: Eukaryota; Viridiplantae; Streptophyta; Magnoliopsida; Poales; Poaceae
Exons: 2
Source: RefSeq, a predicted model, not a curated record